RNAcentral lists this ribosomal RNA (470 nucleotides) under uncultured bacterium. RNAcentral describes it as "partial 16S ribosomal RNA". It matches the Rfam family "Bacterial small subunit ribosomal RNA", at positions 330 to 792 of the family's 1533-position model. The record is from RNAcentral.
UCCAGACUCCUACGGGAGGCAGCAGUAGGGAAUCUUCGGCAAUGGGCGAAAGCCUGACCGAGCAACGCCGCGUGAAUGAAGAAGGCCUUCGGGUUGUAAAAUUCUGUUAUAAGGGAAGAAAGGUGAUAGGAGGAAAUGACUAUCAAUUGACGGUACCUUAUGAGAAAGCCACGGCUAACUACGUGCCAGCAGCCGCGGUAAUACGUAGGGGGCAAGCGUUAUCCGGAAUUACUGGGUGUAAAGGGAGCGCAGACGGCAGUGCAAGUCGGGAGUGAAAGCCCGUGGCUUAACCACGGGACUGCUCUGGAAACUGUGCAGCUAGAGUGCAGGAGAGGCAGGCGGAAUUCCUAGUGUAGCGGUGAAAUGCGUAGAUAUUAGGAGGAACACCGGUGGCGAAGGCGGCCUGCUGGACUGUAACUGACGUUGAGGCUCGAAAGCGUGGGGAGCAAACAGGAUUAGAUACCCUGGUA